CAUCGCCCUUUGAUACAGGAUAAAUAUAAAGGGUCCUGCCUGCCCAGUGACAAAAAGUUAAACGGCCGCGGUAUCUUGACCGUGCGAAGGUAGCAUAAUCACUUGUCUCCUAAAUAGAGACUGGUAUGAAUGGCAAGACGGAACUUAACUGUCUCCUUUUCUUUCAUCUUAAUUUCACUUUCCCGUGAAGAGGCGGGAGAAUAUUCGCUAGACGAGAAGACCCUGUCGAGCUUGAGCGGAACACUAAUUUUUAACUUUUUUUUGUUUUAUUCUAAUUUAUUUAACUAAAUACGACUAAAGAAAAAUUAUUAGUAUAAGCUUUGGUUGGGGCAACCGCGGAGAAUAAGAAUCCUCCGCUUACAAUAGAUAAAGCUAAGACUUUACAAGUCUAAUAUUGUAUGAUACAAGUUAAUUGAUCCACUAUGGUGAUCAAAGGAAAAAGUUACCGCAGGGAUAACAGCGUUAUCUUUUCUGAGAGUUCAUAUUGACGAAAAGGUUUGCGACCUCGAUGUUGGAUCGGGACAUCCUAAGGGUGCAGAAGCUUUUAAGGGUUGGUCUGUUCGACCAUUAAAGUCCUAC
RNAcentral lists this ribosomal RNA (579 nucleotides) under Scaphechinus mirabilis. RNAcentral describes it as "partial 16S ribosomal RNA". It matches the Rfam family "Bacterial large subunit ribosomal RNA", at positions 1814 to 2599 of the family's 2925-position model. The record is from RNAcentral. Lineage: Eukaryota; Metazoa; Echinodermata; Echinoidea; Clypeasteroida; Scutellidae.